RNAcentral lists this long non-coding RNA (733 nucleotides) under Rattus norvegicus (Norway rat). RNAcentral's name for it is "long non-coding RNA NONRATT031456". The record is from RNAcentral. Lineage: Eukaryota; Metazoa; Chordata; Mammalia; Rodentia; Muridae.
GGGCCAGCUUGGGGAAAGGCUCAGGCUGCGGGCCUCCCUGGGCGCUUUCCAGAAGCCUCCUUUACGCCUCUCGCCCGGGUUUCACCCUUCCCUGGGAACUUUCCUGUCUGAGUUAACUAUUAACCGUUGACGAGAGGCAAUUUUCUUCGGAAUUUCAGCGAUUUCCUUUUCGUCCUGGAAGCAGAUUAACAUGCAAACGGGGAGGCGAUCGGCUCGAAGCUGUCCCUCCAAUCUGUCCCGGCCGCCGGACAGCGGAAAACUACAGCCCCGGCCCCCCCACGCCUGCUUGAGCAGGGGCCGUGACCCAGCCAGUACCCGCAGAGAAGAUGGAAAAAGCCCAGCGCCGGUGCUGGAGCGAAGUUGGAGGCACGGACACUGAUUGCGCCUUAUGAAGUUCUAACUGGUUUUGUGUCAGGAAGAUCUUUCUCGCUGCUACCCAGCCUGGCGUGACGGAUUAAACAUCAACUAGUUAAAUAAAAAUUAAUAUCAACUGCCUCCUAACUUCUAAUGUCAUGUUGUUUAUAACUAAUGAACUGAUUAGGGGAUAAACACAUCACGGAGACGUUCGGCUUUCCUGCCUCAGCUCCAUCCUCGCCGGUGCCCACUCCAGUGCUGCCAGUCGCCAGGCCAGGAAAGGGGGAGUUGGCUGGGAGGGCGGGGUAAGCUGCCUAGAGUGGGAGUCCCAGGGUUUGCUCCUCUGCCUGCCUUGAUCCAUCUCUCCUCUCUCUCCCCC